GACGAACGCUGGCGGCGUGCUUAACACAUGCAAGUCGAACGGAAAGGCCCUGCUUUUGCGGGGUGCUCGAGUGGCGAACGGGUGAGUAACACGUGAGUAACCUGCCCCUGACUUUGGGAUAACUUCAGGAAACUGGGGCUAAUACCGGAUAGGAGCUCCUGCUGCAUGGUGGGGGUUGGAAAGUUUCGGCGGUUGGGGAUGGACUAGCGGCUUAUCAGCUUGUUGGUGGGGUAGUGGCUUACCAAGGCUUUGACGGGUAGCCGGCCUGAGAGGGUGACCGGCCACAUUGGGACUGAGAUACGGCCCAGACGCCUACGGGAGGCAACAGUGGAGAGUAUUGCACAAUGGGCGGGAGCCUGAGGCGGCGGCGCCGCGUGCGGGAUGACGGCCUUCGGGUUGUGAACCGCUUUCGCCUGAGACGAAGCGUGAGUGACGGUAAUGGAUAAAGAAGCACCGGCUAACUACGUG
Molecule: ribosomal RNA, 468 nt
Filed under: uncultured bacterium
Lineage: Bacteria
Description: partial 16S ribosomal RNA
Rfam family: Bacterial small subunit ribosomal RNA
Source: RNAcentral